This 1037-nucleotide ribosomal RNA is filed under the name Bacillus sp. (in: firmicutes). RNAcentral's name for it is "bacterial SSU rRNA". It matches the Rfam family "Bacterial small subunit ribosomal RNA", at positions 465 to 1501 of the family's 1533-position model. Lineage: Bacteria; Bacillati; Bacillota; Bacilli; Caryophanales; Bacillaceae. The record is from RNAcentral.
CACCUUGACGGUACCUAACUAGAAAGCCACGGCUAACUACGUGCCAGCAGCCGCGACAAUACGUAGGUGGCAAGCGUUGUCCGGAAUUAUUGGGCGUAAAGGGCUCGCAGGCGGUUUCUUAAGUCUGAUGUGAAAGCCCCCGGCUCAACCGGGGAGGGUCAUUGGAAACUGGGGAACUUGAGUGCAGAAGAGGAGAGUGGAAUUCCACGUGUAGCGGUGAAAUGCGUAGAGAUGUGGAGGAACACCAGUGGCGAAGGCGACUCUCUGGUCUGUAACUGACGCUGAGGAGCGAAAGCGUGGGGAGCGAACAGGAUUAGAUACCCUGGUAGUCCACGCCGUAAACGAUGAGUGCUAAGUGUUAGGGGGUUUCCGCCCCUUAGUGCUGCAGCUAACGCAUUAAGCACUCCGCCUGGGGAGUACGGUCGCAAGACUGAAACUCAAAGGAAUUGACGGGGGCCCGCACAAGCGGUGGAGCAUGUGGUUUAAUUCGAAGCAACGCGAAGAACCUUACCAGGUCUUGACAUCCUCUGACAAUCCUAGAGAUAGGAUGUCCCCUUCGGGGGCAGAGUGACAGGUGGUGCAUGGUUGUCGUCAGCUCGUGUCGUGAGAUGUUGGGUUAAGUCCCGCAACGAGCGCAACCCUUGAUCUUAGUUGCCAGCAUUCAGUUGGGCACUCUAAGGUGACUGCCGGUGACAAACCGGAGGAAGGUGGGGAUGACGUCAAAUCAUCAUGCCCCUUAUGACCUGGGCUACACACGUGCUACAAUGGACAGAACAAAGGGCAGCGAAACCGCGAGGUUAAGCCAAUCCCACAAAUCUGUUCUCAGUUCGGAUCGCAGUCUGCAACUCGACUGCGUGAAGCUGGAAUCGCUAGUAAUCGCGGAUCAGCAUGCCGCGGUGCAUACGUUCCCGGGCCUUGUACACACCGCCCGUCACACCACGAGAGUUUGUAACACCCGAAGUCGGUGAGGUAACCUUUUAGGAGCCAGCCGCCGAAGGUGGGACAGAUGGUUGGGGUGAAGUCGUAACAAGGUAACC